CUGGAGACUGACUUGACGAUGCUUCGUACACGAACAGAGCCUGACCGCCCCCUAGAGGAGCUGGGCCAGUAUGCCAGGCUCUGCCCUGAACUUCACUACGACUUUCAGGAUCUGGAUUCAGACCCAGACAGAGAGGAGAGCUCUGAUGAGGAUGGCUUCCUGUAUGGUGACGCUGGUCCAGGCCCAAGAUUCUUCUCUGGGGUAGACGAGAGGACCAGCGGUUCCCUGGCUCUGAGAACCAGGGAGACCCUGGAGUGGAGGGGAGUGUCCUUUGUCAGGCAGGCAGUGUGGGGGUCCAGAACCCCAGCUCAACCCCAGAGAGUUCCACAGCCAGUACCUGAGCAGUAGGAGAGCCGGACACAAGAUCCCCAGUAUGAUUGAGCGGCUGCUGAAGAAGCACAGAGGCUGUAUCCCCGGCCACGAUCCCCAGGUCUACACCACCACAGCUGCCAACACCAAAUCCAUCUCCGGGUACUCCGUCCUCGCCUUCCCGGACUUUUGGGGGCACCUCCCGCCACCCUACCAGCAACCAAUCGCACAGCGUAGACAGGGAGUGCAGAGAUAAGGGCUGCUUUAUUCAUGCCAUUUAUUGGUAUUAUGAUUGACCUGCAAUUUGAGUGAAUGCAAAUUUUAGGCAAGAGCUUUAUUUGUAUAUUACACCUGCAGAUACUGUUUGCUACAAUAAUUUCAGAGCUGUCUCGCUCUUGGCCAGCACAGUGUUGAGUGCUAGUCUCUGCCCAGGGCUGAGCACAGCUACUCUUUAGCAGGACGUGUCAGCAUAUUGUGGUGCCGUCAUUAUUCAUAAAGGACCGUACUGCGGCAGAGCGUGUGACAAUGAAACUGCGUGAUUGAGGGCAACAAAAAGCUACCAAAGACAUUUUCAUUUCCUUUCCUUCACCAGUUGAUUUAUUUGUUCCCUCUUUGUGGCAUCUUGGACUGCUGAUCUUAGAUCAGAAUCGCUGAGUAGAUACUUAUCAUUUCAUUAAGGAGCAUUGAUGAGUGUUUGCCUUGACCAUGGGGCAAUUCACUGGGAACUAGUUACUGUGCUGUUCUGUCAGCAGCAGAAUAUCACCUAUAAACAAGACAGAGUCCUGAAAGCCUUCUCUCAGACUGCAGGUGGGAGCCAGGUCCUGAAAGGGUGCUUUAUUAAAUUGGAUGAUAUUACAGGAGAGGGGAGAGUGAACUGCAGAUGGGUAAACUACAUUAACGCCCCUGAAUAGCAGAAAGAUACUGGAGUGUGCCAUUCUUCUAGUCAUCCCUGCUCCAUUCGAUUGUGUUGUGUGCAGAGUCAAGGCUCUUACACCAUGCUUACGGGUUCAGAUGUGCUUUGUGUUGUAAACUGAAUGAUACAGUGACUUGCAGAGAGCUGUUUUUGGAUCUGUGGACUGAAACAACAUAGUCCAGCACAGAGGCAAACCUGCAAGAGCAAACAACACAGUCCAGCACAGAGGCAAACCUGCAAGAGUAAACAAUACAGUCCAGCACAGAGGCAAACCUGCAAGAGCAAACAAUACAGUCCAGCACAGAGGCAAACCUGCAAGAGCAAACAAUACAGUCCAGCACAGAGGCAAACCUGCAAGAGCAAACGACACAGUCCAGCACAGAGGCAAACCUGCAAGAGCAAAGGACACAGUCCAGCACAGAGGCAAACCUGUAUUUGAUUCGAGUGGAGCUUGUUACACAGCAAUGGAUUCUAGCAGCUGGCUGUGAAAUAAUCGACGCAUGACAACGCACUGCUUAAAAGGAGAGGGGCACUAUAGAACUUCUCAACUGGCUUUGAUUGUGUGCUCCUUGUAUCUUCUGUCUGAUCUGUGGAAAG
This is a long non-coding RNA of Polyodon spathula (Mississippi paddlefish), 1819 nucleotides long. RefSeq lists it as uncharacterized. NCBI's taxonomy places the organism in Eukaryota, Metazoa, Chordata, Actinopteri, Acipenseriformes, Polyodontidae. The record is from RefSeq and is a predicted model, not a curated record. The transcript has 3 exons.